Molecule: ribosomal RNA, 630 nt
Filed under: Micrococcus sp. enrichment culture clone 1PR12
Lineage: Bacteria; Bacillati; Actinomycetota; Actinomycetes; Micrococcales; Micrococcaceae
Description: bacterial SSU rRNA
Rfam family: Bacterial small subunit ribosomal RNA
Source: RNAcentral
CGCGGCCUAUCAGCUUGUUGGUGAGGUAAUGGCUCACCAAGGCGACGACGGGUAGCCGGCCUGAGAGGGUGACCGGCCACACUGGGACUGAGACACGGCCCAGACUCCUACGGGAGGCAGCAGUGGGGAAUAUUGCACAAUGGGCGCAAGCCUGAUGCAGCGACGCCGCGUGAGGGAUGACGGCCUUCGGGUUGUAAACCUCUUUCAGUAGGGAAGAAGCGAAAGUGACGGUACCUGCAGAAGAAGCACCGGCUAACUACGUGCCAGCAGCCGCGGUAAUACGUAGGGUGCGAGCGUUAUCCGGAAUUAUUGGGCGUAAAGAGCUCGUAGGCGGUUUGUCGCGUCUGUCGUGAAAGUCCGGGGCUUAACCCCGGAUCUGCGGUGGGUACGGGCAGACUAGAGUGCAGUAGGGGAGACUGGAAUUCCUGGUGUAGCGGUGGAAUGCGCAGAUAUCAGGAGGAACACCGAUGGCGAAGGCAGGUCUCUGGGCUGUAACUGACGCUGAGGAGCGAAAGCAUGGGGAGCGAACAGGAUUAGAUACCCUGGUAGUCCAUGCCGUAAACGUUGGGCACUAGGUGUGGGGACCAUUCCACGGUUUCCGCGCCGCAGCUAACGCAUUAAGUGCCCCGC